AACGAACGCUGGCGGCAUGCCUAACACAUGCAAGUCGAACGAGACCUUCGGGUCUAGUGGCGCACGGGUGCGUAACGCGUGGGAACCUGCCCUUAGGUUCGGAAUAACUCCCCGAAAGGGGUGCUAAUACCGGAUAAUGUCUUCGGACCAAAGAUUUAUCGCCUUUGGAUGGGCCCGCGUUGGAUUAGCUAGUUGGUAGGGUAAAAGCCUAACAAGGCGACGAUCCAUAGCUGGUCUGAGAGGAUGAUCAGCCACACUGGGACUGAGACACGGCCCAGACUCCUACGGGAGGCAGCAGUGGGGAAUAUUGGACAAUGGGCGAAAGCCUGAUCCAGCAAUGCCGCGUGAGUGAUGAAGGCCUUAGGGUUGUAAAGCUCUUUUACCCGGGAUGAUAAUGACAGUACCGGGAGAAUAAGCUCCGGCUAACUCCGUG
RNAcentral lists this ribosomal RNA (433 nucleotides) under uncultured bacterium. RNAcentral describes it as "partial 16S ribosomal RNA". It matches the Rfam family "Bacterial small subunit ribosomal RNA", at positions 29 to 507 of the family's 1533-position model. The record is from RNAcentral.